Molecule: ribosomal RNA, 805 nt
Filed under: Corynebacterium sp. BCW_4722
Lineage: Bacteria; Bacillati; Actinomycetota; Actinomycetes; Mycobacteriales; Corynebacteriaceae
Description: bacterial LSU rRNA
Rfam family: Bacterial large subunit ribosomal RNA
Source: RNAcentral
UAGUGGCAUGUCCUGGACCCGAAGCGGGGUGAUCUACCCAUGGCCAGUGUGAAGCAGCUGUAAGAGGUUGUGGAGGCGCGAACCCACUUAGGUUGAAAACUGAGGGGAUGAGUUGUGGGUAGGGGUGAAAGGCCAAUCAAACUCCGUGAUAGCUGGUUCUCCCCGAAAUGCAUUUAGGUGCAGCGUGAUGUGAGCUUGCCGGAGGUAGAGCUACUGGUUGGUUGAGCGGGACUAUCAUCUUAGCGACGUCAGCCAAACUCCGAAUGCCGGUUUGAAGUGUUGCAUUGCAGUGAGACUGUGGGGGAUAAGCUUCAUAGUCGAGAGGGAAACAGCCCAGAUCGCCGGUUAAGGCCCCUAAGGGUGUGCUAAGUGGAAAAGGAUGUGGGAUCGCGAAGACAGCCAGGAGGUUGGCUUAGAAGCAGCCAUCCUUGAAAGAGUGCGUAAUAGCUCACUGGUCGAGUGGUUCUGCGCCGACAAUUCAGUGGGGCUCAAGCACACCGCCGAAGCCGCGGCAACACUUGUUUGUGUUGGGUAGGGGAGCGUCGUGUGUGGGGUGAAGCCGUAUCGUAAGGAGCGGUGGACUGCAUGCGAGUGAGAAUGCAGGCAUGAGUAACGAAUGGCAAGUGAGAAUCUUGCCCGCCGGAUGACUAAGGGUUCCUGGGUCAAGUUCGUCUUCCCAGGGUGAGUCGGGUCCUAAGGCGAGGCCGACAGGCGUAGUCGAUGGUCAACGGGUUGAUAUUCCCGUACCCGUGUGUGCGCGACAAAUUGCGAAGCGGUGAUACUAACCACCCUGACCCGCCGGCCA